This is a long non-coding RNA of Equus caballus (horse), 726 nucleotides long. RefSeq lists it as uncharacterized. Lineage: Eukaryota; Metazoa; Chordata; Mammalia; Perissodactyla; Equidae. The record is from RefSeq and is a predicted model, not a curated record.
GCAGAGCAUAGGACAUCACUUCUUGUUCCAACCAGAGUCCAAGCCUCACCUCAAGGGUAUGGAAAGUAUCCAACAGCUAUAAGAAGGAAGCGCACAGAUGUCCUGACUCUAACACGGCUGUGUGAUGCUGAGCAACUCACAUCCCCCUUCUGAACCUCAUCUCCUCCUCCAGCCAGCAAGCCACUGGGCCCAGCAUCAGCUUCUGACCUUGAGAUAAAUGAUUUCACCUUCCUGAGACUCUGGAGUGGACGUCUGUCGUAUCUGCUGCCUAGCAUCGCCUCCUCCUUCUUUAGAUAACAAGAUAACAGGUUUUUAUGAGUGCAGGAUCUACCUUCUACCUCUCUCAACCCAGGCGGUUCUGGUGAACGGGACUCCAUUCCUGGAUCCGGAGGUGGAUCAUGUGACCUGGGCCGUACCAGCCAGUUCACCUCAUCCUCGUGGCUUCAGCGAUUGGUUCAAGAUGGUCACAUGACCAACCCAGGCCAAUCAGCGUCAAGGGGAUCUAUUCCAAGACUUUUGCUUGAGUUGAAAUGACCAAGUGUCAAUAACCUGGGAGCAAUGACUCAAGAUCUGCAGGUGACGACAACACAGAGGACAGCAGAGCCAAUAGAGAGAGACUGGGUCCUGAUGUUACCAUUUGAACCCUGGCUGCAACUGGACUUGAAGCCAAAUCUAUGGGUGGAUGUUUCAGUUUCGAAAGCAAAUAAAUUAAUUUCUUUUGCUUAA